RNAcentral lists this transfer RNA (73 nucleotides) under Streptococcus pneumoniae. RNAcentral describes it as "tRNA-Val". It matches the Rfam family "tRNA". Rfam says of the family: Transfer RNA (tRNA) molecules are approximately 80 nucleotides in length. Lineage: Bacteria; Bacillati; Bacillota; Bacilli; Lactobacillales; Streptococcaceae. The record is from RNAcentral.
GGGAGUUUAGCUCAGCUGGGAGAGCAUCUGCCUUACAAGCAGAGGGUCAGCGGAUCGAUCCCGUUAACUCCUA